UUUUCGAAAAAGCCAUUUGAGAACUUCUCUCACUAAAACUCAACUUCUCUCUAAGUAUUGAUCUAGUAGGAGUGAUUUCCUUACCUUUGGCCUUUACAGAAGUUGUGUUGAUCGUCGAGGGUUACGUUUUGAUCCUAGUAUAUUGAAUUUUGGAGCACUUUAGGUUUCGUCAUCUUCCCCGUUUGAGCUCUAACUUCGAGGUACAGAAAGCAUGCUACUUCCAAGGAUGUAGUUUGGGAGGCUAGAGACAGACAAACUACUUUUGUUGUUUUGCUUUCUUUGAUGUAUUAUAUGUAAAUUCAAGCCAAGGGCUUAAGUUGUAUUGAGUUACUACUCUUCUCUUUUUGUAACCAAGUGUUAACUUGGAAAGUUGUAAGCCCGUAGGGCAUUUGUUUGUUAGCAGCAAGUGAUAUUUCUACAAGAGGUACUCUGAUUAAUAGAAAGAUAUUUAUUUCUCGUA
Camellia sinensis is the source of this 460-nucleotide non-coding RNA. The record is from RefSeq and is a predicted model, not a curated record. Lineage: Eukaryota; Viridiplantae; Streptophyta; Magnoliopsida; Ericales; Theaceae.